GGCCAGACCGGGGGCCAGAAAUGAACUUUUAUUGCAAAAUGGGGACCUUCAAGUCACAAGGACGUCAGAGCUGGCCUCUGGCCCAACACAAGGAGCUGGAAUCUGGCCCCUCCUUGGUCAUCUAGCCACUUCCACCAGCAAUCCUGUGAGGUGGGUACCAUUAUGCGUCCCAAUCGCCCAGAUGAGGAAACUGAGGCCCAGAGAGCUGAAGUCAGAGCAGACUCCAUUCCCUGGAGGCCACCAGACCCGAAGCCCCAUCUUCCAGGCGCCGGCUCAGGCUGUCCGUUUUCCUGAAUGUUCUUCCUCUGGAGCCCUCACUUCCGGCCCCAGGGCUGGCUGGCGCAGAAGCCUCCUACCUUGGACCCGAGGGUACUUCAGUAGAAGCAAGAGGGUAUAGC
Mustela lutreola (European mink) is the source of this 398-nucleotide long non-coding RNA. RefSeq lists it as uncharacterized. The transcript is spliced from 3 exons. The record is from RefSeq and is a predicted model, not a curated record. Lineage: Eukaryota; Metazoa; Chordata; Mammalia; Carnivora; Mustelidae.